UUGACCAAAGACGAAGUU
This 18-nucleotide small nuclear RNA is filed under the name Arabidopsis thaliana (thale cress). Its description in RNAcentral is "snRNA_17109". Lineage: Eukaryota; Viridiplantae; Streptophyta; Magnoliopsida; Brassicales; Brassicaceae. The record is from RNAcentral.